Long non-coding RNA from Zea mays, 626 nucleotides. RefSeq lists it as uncharacterized. The transcript is spliced from 3 exons. The record is from RefSeq and is a predicted model, not a curated record. Lineage: Eukaryota; Viridiplantae; Streptophyta; Magnoliopsida; Poales; Poaceae.
UAUUAAUCCAUUUAUAAAUUGUUAUUUUUGUAGACAUUAUGGCUAUUGUAGUCCACAUGGAUACAAUUCAUCGCACAAUGUGGGGCCCUUUCAGAAAGAUUGUUAUAAUGGAUGCUAGGGGGUCUUUACAUAUCAUUAAAGUUUGGGGUGACCUACUAAACAAAAAUGCACUCCGUUGGGCGUUGGCUAAGGAGGAUUAUGGCAUAAUAAUUGGGACUAUGUUUAGGCGGUUCAGAAAACAAGGUACAACAUGUCUUUACGCCUUGCAAACACAUCUGUCACUAAGUUUUGCUUUAUAAUGAUUCGUAACAUAAAUUUAAAUGUGUAAUUCUAGAGUUCCUCGAGUCUUCGGAUCAUACCGCAAUACACUUCAAUCCAUUCCAUCACAACACCCACUAUUUUGGACCAAUUCAAAAAGCUUUGGUGGCGCGGAACAACCGUCAGUUUGCUGUUACAUUUCUUGAAGAGCAAAGGCGUAGAUAGAUUCUACAAUUUCACAAAGAGCAAUAAUUGGAACUAUGUUUAGGCCUAGAUAGAUUCUACAAUGAUAGAAUACAUGUCGUACUGUUAUUGAUCAACCAAGAGCAACAUGAGGCUGAAUUGUAAUACCUAUGACAUGGGUUUAA